AGGCAGCAGUGAGGAAUUUUGCGCAAUGGGGGAAACCCUGACGCAGCAACGCCGCGUGAGUGAUGAAGGCUUUCGGGUCGUAAAGCUCUGUCAAGUGGGAAGAAACCAUAUGGUGUUAAUACCGCCAUGUGCUGACGGUACCACUGAAGGAAGCACCGGCUAACUCCGUGCCAGCAGCCGCGGUAAUACGGGGGGUGCGAGCGUUAUUCGAAAUUACUGGGCGUAAAGAGCGCGUAGGCGGUCUUUUAAGUCAGGUGUGAAAGCCCGGGGCUCAACCCCGGAAGUGCACUUGAAACUAAGAGACUUGAGUAUGGGAGAGGGAAGUGGAAUUCCUGGUGUAGCGGUGAAAUGCGUAGAUAUCAGGAGGAACAUCGGUGGCGAAGGCGACUUCCUGGACCAAUACUGACGCUGAGGCGCGAAGGCGUGGGGAGCAAACAGGAUUAGAUACCCUGGCAGUCCACGCAGUAAACGGUGAACACUAGGUGUAGCGGGUAUUGACCCCUGCUGUGCCGCAGCAAACGCAUUAAGUGUUCCGCCUGGGGAGUACGGCCGCAAGGUUAAAACUCAAAUGAAUUGACGG
Molecule: ribosomal RNA, 580 nt
Filed under: uncultured delta proteobacterium
Lineage: Bacteria; Deltaproteobacteria
Description: bacterial SSU rRNA
Rfam family: Bacterial small subunit ribosomal RNA
Source: RNAcentral